AUGAUGGCUGGGGGAGAGACCGCGUAAGCGGCGCCGAAGGGGUAAGUCUUUGUUAAACUCUCAGGCAAAAGGACCGUGGCCGGACU
This 86-nucleotide non-coding RNA is filed under the name Acetonema longum. RNAcentral describes it as "Glycine sequence". It matches the Rfam family "Glycine riboswitch aptamer". Rfam says of the family: This family represents the bacterial glycine riboswitch. Glycine riboswitches usually consist of two metabolite-binding aptamers domains with similar structures in tandem. Lineage: Bacteria; Bacillati; Bacillota; Negativicutes; Acetonemataceae. The record is from RNAcentral. RNAcentral also lists the same sequence under 1 other name.